This 56-nucleotide transfer RNA is filed under the name Bos taurus (domestic cattle). It matches the Rfam family "tRNA", at positions 8 to 63 of the family's 71-position model. From Rfam's summary of the family: Transfer RNA (tRNA) molecules are approximately 80 nucleotides in length. Their secondary structure includes four short double-helical elements and three loops (D, anti-codon, and T loops). Further hydrogen bonds mediate the characteristic L-shaped molecular structure. tRNAs have two regions of fundamental functional importance: the anti-codon, which is responsible for specific mRNA codon recognition, and the 3' end, to which the tRNAs corresponding amino acid is attached (by aminoacyl-tRNA synthetases). tRNAs cope with the degeneracy of the genetic code in two manners: having more than one tRNA (with a specific anti-codon) for a particular amino acid; and 'wobble' base-pairing, i.e. permitting non-standard base-pairing at the 3rd anti-codon position. Lineage: Eukaryota; Metazoa; Chordata; Mammalia; Artiodactyla; Bovidae. The record is from Rfam by way of RNAcentral. RNAcentral also lists the same sequence under 4 other names.
UGGCUCAGUGGUAAAGAAUCUGCCUGCAAUGCAGGAGACCCGGGUUCGAUCCCUGG